ACCUACCUGCUUUGGCCUGAGUAGUUAAGGUAGCCCAUGACUGCUAGCGAGAUUAAACAGCCAAGUGCAGUUUUGGCCACGAUCUGAGGACCAUGACCACCCAGGAAACCAUCCUGGUGCCAUGACCCGGAUCACACAGCCAUCUUGGCGCACAGAAGACACCCUCCUCAUGCGAAUGGGCCACGAUUCUCUGAGAACCAUCCAACCAGCCUGCAACCUGCUUGCCCUCCUCUGUUACACUCUUACAUGGUGCCUGGGAAAAGAAACCUACACCUUAGGUUGGCCUCUUCUGGGUUACAGUCCAUCAGGCUACAUGUGGUUUGAGAGCAAGGAGAGCAGCCAAUUUCUGGGCAGGAAUGGAUCUACAUGGGACCACUGACCCAGCCUGA
Tupaia belangeri chinensis (Chinese tree shrew) is the source of this 389-nucleotide long non-coding RNA. RefSeq lists it as uncharacterized. The record is from RefSeq and is a predicted model, not a curated record. The transcript is spliced from 4 exons. NCBI's taxonomy places the organism in Eukaryota, Metazoa, Chordata, Mammalia, Scandentia, Tupaiidae.